CUGGCCCUACGGGGCGCAGCAGUGGGGAAUAUUGGGCAAUGGGCGCAAGCCUGACCCAGCAAUGCCACGUGAAGGAAGAAGGCCCUCGGGUUGUAAGCUUCUUUUUUCAGGGACGAAGGAUGUGACGGUACCUGAUGAAUAAGCUCCGGCUAACUACGUGCCAGCAGCCGCGGUAAUACGUAGGGAGCAAGCGUUAUCCGGAUUUACUGGGUGUAAAGGGCGCGUAGGCGGCGCGUUAAGCCUGGCGUGAAAGCCCGCGGCCCAACCGCGGGACUGCAUUGGGAACUGGCGCGCUGGAGUGCCAG
RNAcentral lists this ribosomal RNA (305 nucleotides) under uncultured bacterium. RNAcentral describes it as "bacterial SSU rRNA". It matches the Rfam family "Bacterial small subunit ribosomal RNA", at positions 333 to 652 of the family's 1533-position model. The record is from RNAcentral.